Molecule: long non-coding RNA, 288 nt
Filed under: Capsicum annuum
Lineage: Eukaryota; Viridiplantae; Streptophyta; Magnoliopsida; Solanales; Solanaceae
Description: long non-coding RNA (CANN_LNC021076)
Source: RNAcentral
GGACUUAUUAAUAUAUGUUAAUUAGUCUUCCUGUCUAGUGUGAAAGCACAAUCAGAAGAUUAACUAGUAUACUUCAUGAAGACAAUUAUUUGUCAAAUAGAAUCAUAAACACAACAAAAUACACACAAAGAAUAAUCUUUAAUAAGAGAAUUUUACGUCACUCCUGGCCCAAAAACAUAUAUUAUGUGAAUAAGAUGUGAAGCAAACUGACACAUGCUUUUUGUAGAGCUGGUGGUCACCAACGAACGGAAACCAGGAUCUACUAUCUGUAAUUGCUGCCAAAGGGAA